GACGAACGCUGGCGGCGUGCUUAACACAUGCAAGUCGAACGGAAAGGCCCUGCUUUUGUGUGGUUCUCGAGUGGCGAACGGGUGAGUAACACGUGAGUAACCUGCCCUUGACUUUGUGAUAACUUCAGGAAACUGGGGCUAAUACCGGAUAGGAGCUCCUGCUGCAUGGUGGGGGUUGGAAAGUUUCGGCGGUUGGGGAUGGACUCGCGGCUUAUCAGCUUGUUGGUGGGGUAGUUGCUUACCAAGGCUUUGACGGAUAGCCUGCCUGAGAGGGUGAACGGCCACAUUGGGCCUGAGAUAGGGAGCAGACUCCUAUGGGAGGCAGCAGUGUGGAAUAUUGCACAAUGGGCGGAAGCCUGAUGCAGCAACGCCGCGUGCGGGAUGACGGCCUUCGGGUUGUAAACCGCUUUCGCCUGUGACGAAGCGUGAGUGACGGUAAUGGGUAAAGAAGCACCGGCUAACUACGUG
RNAcentral lists this ribosomal RNA (468 nucleotides) under uncultured bacterium. Its description in RNAcentral is "partial 16S ribosomal RNA". It matches the Rfam family "Bacterial small subunit ribosomal RNA", at positions 28 to 507 of the family's 1533-position model. The record is from RNAcentral.